This is a long non-coding RNA of Oncorhynchus tshawytscha (Chinook salmon), 1118 nucleotides long. The record is from Ensembl. Lineage: Eukaryota; Metazoa; Chordata; Actinopteri; Salmoniformes; Salmonidae.
AGUCAACAUAGCUAAUAGAACUAAUGCGUUAACAAACCAGCCACAAUCAUGCAGUAACGUUACAGUAUAUAGUCAGUAAGCAGUUACACCGUCGGGCCCCGAUGGCAAUAAAUUAAUAAAACCAGCUUACUUUGACAUGGAUGGUGUUGGAUAGUCAUAGCCAGCUAGCUAACAUAGUAUCCCUCUGUUCGAGCCGGGUGUUUGAGUACCUAAACUGGCCAGCUGAAUUUGCUAGCUAAGUUGGAUCAGUCAUGGACAGAAACUUCUGAGACGCGGUAUCAAUGAUGAACACCCAGAGGUUCACUGGUAAACCACAUUUUACUCGGGAUCCAUCCCAGUUGGUAUUCUGUGUCCACUCGUGGUAUCUCUCUUCGGUUACACAUCCCUGGAAUAGCAGAACAGCAUAACGUCAGAAGAGGAAUGGAAAUGUCAGGGUAAACCGACGACCUGACGAACCCACCAAGAUUGUUGACUCUGCCUGUCGGAGGUGGAGUUCCAGAGCUCACAGGUGUGCCUGGCAUGGAUUGUGACUCCAUCUCGUUCUUCGCCCUCUUCAACGUGUCAUUCUCCGCCUGACUCUCCGCCAAUGCCGCCUGGCUCUGGACCAAUGCAUCAGCUGUCGCCUGUAUCUCUGCCCUCAGAGAAUGUUUCUCUUUCUGCUGGUCUGCCUUCAAUGACUCGAUCUCGCUCUUCAAAAUUGGAAUCUGAUCCAUGUGUACCUUCAUCAGAUGAGCAGAAUGGUACCGCCCUGAGCCCCCAUCGAUUACAGUGGCCUAUGAUAGAAACGGUAGAUCAGUGAAGAAUUCAAAGUGACUCCAACACACAAAUGCUGCAUACACAUUAAAAAUAAAUAAGACCUACACCACUUUUAGCUGCACAUUACUCAACGCUAGUGAGACUCAUGUCGCCUACGGCAGGCCUACAGUAUAUUUAAAAAUAUAUUUUUCAAUGACGUGACUCUUCGUCAAUAAUUACAUUUAGAGGAUUGGAGGAUUCUACAUGAAUAUCUAAGGGGCAUUUUAUCAAUUAGUAUAUUUGAGUUUAACCACAAUAUUGUUGUAUUAUUUGUUCUGUCUUUUCUGGUGGAUUAAACUGAAAUUGCAACCAACUUUCUAUGG